CUAUAGGUAGCUUAAGUUUAAAGCUCAGGAUUCUUACUUCUGUGAUGUCUUGGUUCAGACUCUGUAGG
RNAcentral lists this transfer RNA (68 nucleotides) under Echinostoma revolutum. RNAcentral's name for it is "tRNA-Lys". It matches the Rfam family "tRNA". From Rfam's summary of the family: Transfer RNA (tRNA) molecules are approximately 80 nucleotides in length. Their secondary structure includes four short double-helical elements and three loops (D, anti-codon, and T loops). Lineage: Eukaryota; Metazoa; Platyhelminthes; Trematoda; Plagiorchiida; Echinostomatidae. RNAcentral also lists the same sequence under 1 other name. The record is from RNAcentral.